This 204-nucleotide unclassified non-coding RNA is filed under the name Zea mays. Its description in RNAcentral is "misc RNA Zm00001eb365260". Lineage: Eukaryota; Viridiplantae; Streptophyta; Magnoliopsida; Poales; Poaceae. The record is from RNAcentral.
CUGCUGGUGGGUACUGGACGGCGCAACAAGGCACUGGUCGACGCAACAAGUGACGCCCAGACUGGAGUUCCUCUCCUUCCAAGCCAGGAUUGUGGUCGCGCAACAAGGCACUGGUCGGCGCUACUAAUCUGGUUAUUCUUCACUGCGACGGCAACGCCAACAGCGAACUUGGAGGUGUUGCGGCUCUGCACACCUCUUGGUUAG